Molecule: ribosomal RNA, 490 nt
Filed under: uncultured bacterium
Lineage: Bacteria
Description: partial 16S ribosomal RNA
Rfam family: Bacterial small subunit ribosomal RNA
Source: RNAcentral
ACUGAACGCUGGCGGCAGGCCUAACACAUGCAAGUCGAACGGUAACAGGAAGAAGCUUGCUUCUUUGCUGACGAGUGGCGGACGGGUGAGUAAUGUCUGGGAAACUGCCUGAUGGAGGGGGAUAACUACUGGAAACGGUAGCUAAUACCACAUAACGUCGCAAGACCAAAGAGGGGGACCUUCGGGCCUCUUGCCAUCGGAUGUGCCCAGAUGGGAUUAGCUAGUAGGUGGGGUAACGGCUCACCUAGGCGACGAUCCCUAGCUGGUCUGAGAGGAUGACCAGCCACACUGGAACUGAGACACGGUCCAGACUCCUACGGGAGGCAGCAGUGGGGAAUAUUGCACAAUGGGCGCAAGCCUGAUGCAGCCAUGCCGCGUGUAUGAAGAAGGCCUUCGGGUUGUAAAGUACUUUCAGCGGGGAGGAAGGGAGUAAAGUUAAUACCUUUGCUCAUUGACGUUACCCGCAGAAGAAGCACCGGCUAACUCCGUG